RNAcentral lists this unclassified non-coding RNA (346 nucleotides) under soil metagenome. Its description in RNAcentral is "partial contains 5.8S ribosomal RNA, internal transcribed spacer 2, and large subunit ribosomal RNA". The stretch from base 1 to 120 matches the Rfam family "5.8S ribosomal RNA", at positions 35 to 154 of the family's 154-position model. The record is from RNAcentral.
GAUGAAGAACGUAGCGAAAUGCGAUAACUAAUGUGAAUUGCAGAAUUCAGUGAAUCAUCGAGUCUUUGAACGCACAUUGCGCCCCCUGGUAUUCCGGGGGGCAUGCCUGUCCGAGCGUCAUUGCUGCCCUCAAGCACGGCUUGUGUGUUGGGUCUCGUCCCCCUUCCCGGGGGGACGGGCCCGAAAGGCAGCGGCGGCACCGCGUCCGGUCCUCGAGCGUAUGGGGCUUUGUCACCCGCUCUGUAGGCCCGGCCGGCGCUUGCCGAUCAACCAAAACUUUUUUCCAGGUUGACCUCGGAUCAGGUAGGGAUACCCGCUGAACUUAAGCAUAUCAAUAAGCGGAGGA